Trematomus bernacchii (emerald rockcod) is the source of this 388-nucleotide long non-coding RNA. RefSeq lists it as uncharacterized. Lineage: Eukaryota; Metazoa; Chordata; Actinopteri; Perciformes; Nototheniidae. The transcript is spliced from 3 exons. The record is from RefSeq and is a predicted model, not a curated record.
UGUCCAAAGACGAAAACUGGGGACUUUUGUGGCGUUCACACAGCGUUGUCCAAGCUGCAGUUACCUCAGACAAUGGGAGAGCCAGCCCGUCGUCGGAAGUACCCCGGUUGGCAACUUACAAUUAUCCGCUGCUACAUACUUCAGUGGUGGUUCCUUCUUCCAACUACAAAAGAUAUGCAGAGCCAUGCAGCUGGAGAUCUUCCAGUAUGAGACCUUCAGGAGGCAUGCUAGGAAUUACCUGGAGCCUGCUAUUAUCCACAAGUGGAAGACUGAUCAGCUGAAGAUUUUCCAGCAACUACACCACCAGGGGGGAAAUGUCACAGUUGCAGGAGAUAUGAGAGCAGACUCUCCAGGGCACUCAGCGAAGUUCGGAAGCUACACACUCAUG